GACGAACGCUGGCGGCGUGCCUAAUACAUGCAAGUAGAACGCACAGUUUAUACCGUAGCUUGCUACACCAUAAACUGUGAGUUGCGAACGGGUGAGUAACGCGUAGGUAACCUGCCUGGUAGCGGGGGAUAACUAUUGGAAACGAUAGCUAAUACCGCAUAAUAUUGAUUAUUGCAUGAUAAUUGAUUGAAAGAUGCUAUUGCAUCACUACCAGAUGGACCUGCGUUGUAUUAGCUAGUAGGUGAGGCAACGGCUCACCUAGGCGACGAUACAUAGCCGACCUGAGAGGGUGAUCGGCCACACUGGGACUGAGACACGGCCCAGACUCCUACGGGAGGCAGCAGUAGGGAAUCUUCGGCAAUGGACGAAAGUCUGACCGAGCAACGCCGCGUGAGUGAAGAAGGUUUUCGGAUCGUAAAGCUCUGUUGUAAGAGAAGAACGGGUGUGAGAGUGGAAAGUCCACACUGUGACGGUAUCUUACCAGAAAGGGACGGCUAACUACG
Molecule: ribosomal RNA, 503 nt
Filed under: uncultured bacterium
Lineage: Bacteria
Description: partial 16S ribosomal RNA
Rfam family: Bacterial small subunit ribosomal RNA
Source: RNAcentral